RNAcentral lists this long non-coding RNA (1085 nucleotides) under Scleropages formosus (Asian bonytongue). RNAcentral describes it as "lncRNA (ENSSFOG00015027662.1)". Lineage: Eukaryota; Metazoa; Chordata; Actinopteri; Osteoglossiformes; Osteoglossidae. The record is from RNAcentral.
CUCUUUUGCAAUAUUUUACAUCGCUGUAUGAACAGGUGCUGCAGGAAGCGACACCAUCUAAGCGAUCCAAAUUACGUGAUGUCAUCGAGGGUGCUCAGAGUCCAGUUCCUGGGAGAGAAGCGAGGGUUAACAUCGUGCGGAACGGGUUGGUAGGGCUGCCGCGACUGUCCAGCGCUCCGGGUCAAAGGCAUUUUAACGGUACUCAUUGAGAUGCAGACUGCCGCCGUCUGCCAGCUGGGGCAAGAAUGAACGGAGAGGGAUGGAGAUGGGCGAAGAAACUUACUAAUGCGGCCUUUGUAACAUUCUGAGACAAAUUACUUCUUUUCGGGAUCAAGAGGGGAAGAGGGGGAAUUGCAUUUUAAUGUAGCUUAAGUAGAGAUUCAAUUACAUGGAAGAGGGAGGCACUUGAAGGUACAGCCUGUACCCAGUGAGUGUCGAGCCCCAGAUACACGGAAAGGCAUGUUCUUUGCAGCUUAAUUUAAUUUGCGACAGCCUAAGUUCACACCGUCGUGAAAGAUGUCACAGUUGCUGGUUUUUGCUUCCUUGAUGUCCGUGGACAGUUUAAGAAAUGAAACCCCGUGAACUGCCCUGGUAUAUUAAUUCACACCUUGUCACUUGAACGGGAUUGAAUUUGCAUUCGUGUUUCCUGAUACUACAGUAUGUCAAGCAUGUUCUGCCACAUAUGGAGCCACCGUACGAGAGCCGUUUACUGAAACCGGAUGCUGUCUGGAACUGGAGUAUAACCGAGCAAAGCAGCCAUGCCCUGGGUGCAACCAAAGCAUCAUGUGAUGCUGCUGCAGGGUAUCACAGAGAGCUCAGCGAAGAGGAACCAUUCUGCGUGGGAGACCGGCCUUGGUGUUAUGUUCAUGGACGUCCAUGGUUCUGAUCUGCGAAACUGUCAGCUCUGGGAUGUUAAAGAGCCCCGGCAUGUUCAACAUGUACUUUCUAAGUAGAUUUCACAGUGCCAGUUUCGAUCAGUACUGGGGCAGAUGCUUCUACCAUGCACAGUAUUACACGUAAACUCCUGUCAGAAUAACCUGCAGUAUAUUAGCCAAUAAAUGUCUGCAGACCUUUCUUAUUUAUCA